UACCAGCACCCCGAGUGGUCGGGACGAUUAUUGGGCCUAAAGCAUCCGUAGCCGGUCCUACACGUCUUCCGUUAAAUCCACCUGCUUAACAGAUGGGCUGCGGAAGAUACUAUAGGGCUAGGAGGCGGGAGAGGCAAGCGGUACUCAGUGGGUAGGGGUAAAAUCCUCUGAUCCAUUGAAGACCACCAGUGGCGAAGGCGGCUUGCCAGAACGCGCUCGACGGUGAGGGAUGAAAGCUGGGGGAGCAAACCGG
This 253-nucleotide ribosomal RNA is filed under the name uncultured bacterium. RNAcentral's name for it is "partial 16S ribosomal RNA". It matches the Rfam family "Archaeal small subunit ribosomal RNA", at positions 474 to 727 of the family's 1478-position model. The record is from RNAcentral.